RNAcentral lists this long non-coding RNA (3906 nucleotides) under Marmota monax (woodchuck). The record is from RNAcentral. Lineage: Eukaryota; Metazoa; Chordata; Mammalia; Rodentia; Sciuridae.
CACUCCUGUAAUCCCAGCAGCUUCGGAGGCUGAGGGAGGAGGAUUGCAAGGCCAGCCUCAGCAACUUUGUGAGGCCCAAUUUCAAAAUACAAAGGGCUGGCGUGGGGCUCAGGGCUGGAGCACCCUGGGUUCAAUCCCCAGGACCAACCAAGAAUGCACUCAGGAGGCUUCCCUGGAUGGACUGAUGGAUGAGUGAAAGAAAGACAUGUUCUAAACCAUCAGCCCUCUCACCUCAACCCCAGAACCAUGUCCCCAGCUAUGGUGGGGCACAUCCCAGUGACCACAGCUUCCCCGGGGACACGUCCUGCAGCCUAGCCGGUACACCCCACCCUGUGACGUGAUGAGCAUCAUUCUAUUGGUGUAUGUUAUUGACUCUUUUCAUUUUGAUCAGUUCGCAGUCUUCCCUCUGGAAGGAGCCUCCAGGGAGCAGAGAUUUUCGUUUGCUUCACUGUUGAAUUCCAGGGCCCACCUGGGGCCCAACACAUAGUAAGUGCUCAAUAAACACGUCUUGAACCGAUGAGCGGAUCUCACCACGGACAAACCCACAGAUCUCAGACUCAGUGUAUCCAAAAUAGCCCUUUGUCCUCCUCUGGGGACAUCCUCCUUUUGGUUCCUGGUCUUGAUUGCUAAACCUACCCAGCAGGCAUCACCAGGCCCGUGCCUUCCUUCCUCAUCUGCAGAUUCUGGCACCGACUGUCUGUCCCUGUGACCCUUCGCCCUGGCUCCUCCAUGCACCACAUGCACCACACCGUCUCCUGCUUGCAGCCCCUGGGCUGAUCCUAACACUGCACCAGGACCAGGUGGUGACAGAGUCUCCCUCCUGCUCCUAAGGGGACACAGGUCCCGGAGGUCCUGAAGGUGAUGUGAGGUGGCCUUGGGCAUCAGUUCGGGAAACUUGUUCCUUUUUCAGCCUCUCUCUCCCUCGGGCCUUCCGCAGGCUGCCAGCAAGUCGCCAGAAUUGAAAUUACUCGGUUUUGGUUUCACUGUGGGCUCUGCAGUUCCGUCUGUUUAUGGUCAAGGAGGCUGGCGCUCCAUUUGUGAAGGGACAAGGUCUCCUCUGAAAAGAAAGCGAAAUAGGUCAACCAACACGAAGGGCUCAGGAAUCAGGGUGGAGGGGAAAUGCAAGUAUGGCCCAAGUGACCUGUCGUGCAGCGGGAUGGGCCCGGGAAGUGUCCAGAGCUCCUGGCAACCAGGUCCCGGUGCCCGGCUGCCCCUCAGUGUGACACCUGUGACACCUGCAGCCACGCUGGGACACGGCCCUGGCCCCAUUCCCAGGGCACCUCGUGCAGUUUCGACCCCAGGCCUGUCUCUUCACUCUGGCCUGUCCCUCACGCUCCUCCCGGACCACUCUGUGCCCCUGUCGCCCAGCACGGUCCUCCCUGGGGAAGGACCCUCGCCACUCCCAGCCCCGCACGUGGCUUCCGCGGACCUGAUGUCACUCUGCGCUCCCACAGCGCGCGACUCAGGCGCGGCCAGUCAGAGUGCUCCUUCCCCAAUCCGUGUAGGGAUUGGCUCCCAGGCGCUCAUGUGAUUAAAUCUGACCAAUGAGAGCCGUUCCCUGAUCCAUCCCGGGAACUAUCACUUUCUUUCGCGAUUCGUAGCUGAUAGCUGAUAAGGCUCCACCUCUGGGAGUCCCCACCCCACCGCACACACUUUUUUACUACCACUGAGGCUCCCUUAUCCUACUUGGGGUUGAGAAGCAAGCAGAUUCCAGAGGCGGAGGCUUCCAACCUGCAGAAAAAAAUUUGAGCACCUUGAUCCAUCCAUGCCUGAAACUACACUCUAAUUUUUUUUUUAAUCACUUGCAACUACAAGGCUCCUGGUCAAAGAAUGAGUUUAAGCUUUAUUGACAUAAAAUUCAUAUAGCAUAUAAGUCACCCUUUCAACCAUUUAAAAAUGCAUGAUCCAUAACACACUGGGUUCUAGUAGAGUCACAGUGUUGUACCCAUGUCACCACUGUGUGAUUCCAGAAUCUCACAACACAACCACCAUCUCCAGAAACAAAAAUAAAAACCAUGAUCCUUCUCACCCACUCCCAACUGCCCUCCCCCAGUGCAUGUCACCACCUGAAAUAUCUCAGGCAUUUCUCUGAGCACCCCCUCAAUACAGGGCCGGGUUGUUCUCCCCUCUGUGCACACUCCCCGUGAUUUUUAAAUCUUAUUUAUUUUUAAUCAUGAAACAUUUCAAACAGACAGAAAGUCAAUCCCUGUGUGUAUCUCCUACUACAUUUUUGAUGUCGGGAACUGGGACUUGAUUUCUUCUUGUGUCCCCAUUUCCCAGCACAGGGUCUGCACCAGACAAGGUGUUCAGUCAAGCAAAACAAGAAGCCAACCCGGGCCCACCCUCACCGUCUCAGCCCUAGGCUGAACCAGAGCUUAAAGAUUCUGCCAACGUUUGUUGAUUGGCUGGUUGACCUCCUUAGUAAACGUCAGGCCCCUCCUCCUGCCUGUGUGUGCAGGGCUGUGGUGGGGCUGGGCAGGAGGGACUUUAUCUGAGCCGAUCACUUCCCACACUCUGACAUUUAAUUAAACCCAGAACUAAACUGACAGUUGUUUACCAUAGCUGGGUACCCCCCAAAAUUCCCCCACUUCAGAGGCUUACAGGUAGAAUAGUGGGGAGGCUGAGCAGAUCAGGGACGCAGGGCCCGUGGCUUCUCUGUCUCUGUGUUGUCCCAUCUGUGCAGCACAGCUGAUGACGCUGAAUACCCUGUGGGGUCACGGGGGAUUGGCUGAGUGAACCCCUGCUGUCCUUGAGGAAGUCUGCUGCCCAGGGUGCUUAGCUGCGUUCUCCCAGCGCUGCACGAGGCCACCCAGCCACGGCCCCCGGGGCUUACCCACCGCCUCGCUCCACUGCAUCUCAGGUUAGGCGCUGCCUCCUCCAGGAAGUCCUCCGGCUCCGCAGACCUUGGGUAGGUACUGCUCUUUGGGCUUCUUGGUGCCCAUGUGUCCCAUCCGCACCAGCAGGGACAGUCUCAGAUACCCCCAGGUGCCCCGAGCCCGGCACAGGGCAGAUGCCCAGAGUGCAGGCUCUCGUGGUGCACACCUGUAAUCCCGGGGACUCGGGAGGCUGAGGCUGGAGGAUCGCAAGUUUGAGGCCAGCCUUGGCAACUUAGUGAGACCCUGUCUCAAAAUGGAAGAUAAAAAGGGUGGAGUCCAGAGGCAGGGCCCCCUGGCUUCGAUCCCCAGUGCCCCCCCCCCAGAAAAAGAGAAAGAAUAUACCAGAACAUGCAUCGAAGGAUAACAAGAGCUUUUGACUUGUCCCUGAUGCUUCUGAGACCGUCCUGACCCAGGCACCCAAGCUCUGGCUCCGUCCUCCCUGUGUCCCGGGGAGGACAGGUGUGCAGAGCCCCGGAGCAGGUGGGGAGCAGCAGAGGCUGCGACUGGGGCUCUGGUUUGUCCCUUGCUGGUUGACCCUGGGUUUGGGCUGCGGGGGCACCGUGACUACGCUGUGGGGGCCACAUGAAUGGCUGCUUGGGUCUGCCCAGGGCCAGCUGUCCUGCCACCAGGUUUUGUGUGAACGCCUCCCUCCUCCUGGGCUGCUCUUCCCCUCCUGGCUGACCGCAGCUCCCUUUUGUGGCCCGAGGUCUGUGCUCCCCACCUCCCCCGCGCCCCAGGCCCUGAGCUCCAGCUGUCAGUAAGUGCUUGUUGACUGACUGACUGACUGUGCUUGGUAAAUAUUUUUGUGAGACUUUGACCUUUUCCCAUGUGAAUGUGGGGAAACCACGGCAGCUUGAACUUUCAGUAAAGCAGAGGCCCUUUGAGGAAGGGAGGCUGCACCGAAACCCAGCCGGCUGCCUGGAAGCCGAGUCAUCGCGGCCCAUCCGCCCUGGGCUGCAGCCUCUUGGAAGAGCCGCUGUCCCUGGGCCAGCCCUGCCGGGAGGAGGUCGGUGACUGAGGAAAGAGCUUG